This 684-nucleotide long non-coding RNA is filed under the name Ficedula albicollis (Collared flycatcher). Its description in RNAcentral is "lncRNA (ENSFALG00000026205.1)". The record is from RNAcentral. Lineage: Eukaryota; Metazoa; Chordata; Aves; Passeriformes; Muscicapidae.
CCCCAGAUUUGAUCUCGGGCACCCCAAAACUGACCCUGAACCCCAAAAAUUACGCGGAGCCCCAAAACGAAUGCCCGAAAAUUGACCUUGAACCCCCAAAAUCUCGCCCCGGAAACCCCAAAAUCUCCCCUCUCUGGACCCCGAAACCCGUGGGACACCCGCCGCACCCCAAAACUCCCAGGAUCGCCCCAAAACUUUCUCGGGACACCCCAAAAUCCCCUCGGGAACCCCAAAAUCCCCCCAGAGCUCGGGUGGGCCCCACCGUGACUCAGCUCGCGGCGUUGCCCUUUUAAGGCUCCGCCCACUCGGGGCGGGCGCGCGGUGACGUCACUGCCACAAGCCCCGCCCACACCCCGCGAGCUCUGCAGCGGAGCCCAGUUUAAUCCCGGCUCAUUCCCGGCUCAUUCCCGGCUCGUUCCCGCAGCUCCCGGACACUCGGACACUCCGGACACUCCGGACACUCGGACACUCCUCCGGACACUCGGACACUCGGUCAGUCACCCCCAAACUCCUCCUCAAACCUUGUGCCUCCCACUUUCCCCCAAAAAUCCGCCCCAAUUUUCCUUCACCUUUGGCGUGUUUUUCCCUCGGAAAUUUUGGUCGUUUUUAUCUGAAAAUCUCGGGAAUUUUUCCAUAAAGUUUGGGAUUUAUUUUUUUUUUCCUUGAAGUUUUGGGUUUGUUUUU